RNAcentral lists this ribosomal RNA (305 nucleotides) under uncultured bacterium. Its description in RNAcentral is "bacterial SSU rRNA". It matches the Rfam family "Bacterial small subunit ribosomal RNA", at positions 335 to 657 of the family's 1533-position model. The record is from RNAcentral.
ACUCCUACGGGGGGCAGCAGUCGGGAAUAUUGCGCAAUGGAGGAAACUCUGACGCAGUGACGCCGCGUAUAGGAAGAAGGUUUUCGGAUUGUAAACUAUUGUCGUGAGGGAAGAGAUUGACAGUACCUCAGGAGGAAGCUCCGGCUAACUAUGUGCCAGCAGCCGCGGUAAUACGUAGGUGGCGAGCGUUAUCCGGAAUGAUUGGGCGUAAAGGGUGCGCAGGCGGUCCUGCAAGUCUGGAGUGAAACGCAUGAGCUCAACUCAUGCAUGGCUUUGGAAACUGGAGGACUGGAGAGCAGGAGAGG